This 667-nucleotide ribosomal RNA is filed under the name uncultured fungus. Its description in RNAcentral is "eukaryotic LSU rRNA". It matches the Rfam family "Eukaryotic large subunit ribosomal RNA", at positions 24 to 664 of the family's 3401-position model. Lineage: Eukaryota; Fungi. The record is from RNAcentral.
CCCGCUGAACUUAAGCAUAUCAAUAAGCGGAGGAAAAGAAACUAACAAGGAUUCCCCUAGUAACUGCGAGUGAACCGGGAAAAGCUCAAAUUUUGAAUCUGGCGGUCUUCAGGCCGUCGCGAGUUGUAAUCUAGAGAAGCGCCUUCCGCGCUGGACCGUGUAUAAGUUUCCGGGAAGGAAACGUCGUAGAGGGUGAGAAUCCCGCCUUUGACACGGACUGCCAGGGCUAUGUGAUGCGCUCUCGACGAGUCGAGUUGUUUGGGAAUGCAGCUCAAAUAGGGUGGUAAAUUCCAUCUAAAGCUAAAUACAGGCGAGAGACCGAUAGCGAACAAGUACCGUGAGGGAAAGAUGAAAAGAACUUUGGAAAGAGAGUUAAACAGUACGUGAAAUUGUUGAAAGGGAAACGCUUGAAGUCAGUCGCGUCGACCGAGACUCAGCCUCGCCUUGGCUUGGUGUACUUCUCGGCUGACGGGUCAGUGUCAAUUUUGGGCCUCGGAUAAUGACAAGGGAAAGGUGGCACCUUUAUAGGUGUGUUAUAGUCUCCUGUCGGAUGCGAGGGUCGGGAUUGAGGAACUCAGCACGCGCCUUUUGGUGUCGGGGCUUCGGCCUACGCUACGUGCUUAGGAUGCUGGCAUAAUGGCUUUAAACGACCCGUCUUGAAACACGG